RNAcentral lists this ribosomal RNA (565 nucleotides) under uncultured archaeon. Its description in RNAcentral is "bacterial SSU rRNA". It matches the Rfam family "Archaeal small subunit ribosomal RNA", at positions 313 to 879 of the family's 1478-position model. The record is from RNAcentral.
GCGAUUCGCCCUUCGGGGUGCAGCAGGCGCGAAAACUCCACACUGUACGACAGUACGAUGGGGUUAUCUCGAGUGCAGUCCGAUAAGGGCUGCUUUUCCAUAGAGUAAUAUCCUGUGGGAAUAAGAGGGGGGCAAGACUGGUGUCAGCCGCCGCGGUAACACCAGCCCCUCGAGUGGUGGGGACUAUUAUUUGGUCUAAAGCGUCCGUAGCUGGCUGUAUCCGUCCCCCGUUAAAUCCAGCGUCCUAAACGUUGGACUGCGGGUGAUACCAUACAGCUAGAGGGUGGGAUAGGUGAGCGGUAUUUCUGGGGUAGGGGCGAAAUCCUUUGAUCCCAGGAGGACCACCAGUGGCGAAGGCUGCUCACUAGAACACGCCUGACGGUCAGGGACGAAAGCUGGGGCAGCGAACCGGAUUAGAUACCCGGGUAGUCCCAGCUGUAAACGAUGCUANGCUAGGUGUUGGGUCGGCCACGCGCCGCCCCAGUGCCGCAGGGAAGCCGUUAAGCUAGCCACCUGGGGAGUACGGCCGCAAGGCUGAAACUUAAAGGAAUUGGCGGGGGAGCAC